Long non-coding RNA from Anopheles gambiae (African malaria mosquito), 1524 nucleotides. RefSeq lists it as uncharacterized. The transcript has 3 exons. NCBI's taxonomy places the organism in Eukaryota, Metazoa, Arthropoda, Insecta, Diptera, Culicidae. The record is from RefSeq and is a predicted model, not a curated record.
AGUAACCCGCUUGGCAAAGAGUAACUCAUUUUGAUGCCUCUCGCUACCCCUGGCCUUAGUUUUAAAGGAAUCAUGCGACACACUCGCACUCCACUACCCCAUCCCAUGGAAAAAUGCUUCCACCAUCGAGGUGUUGACCAAAAUUUCGCUGUGUGCAUGAGACACACACUCGCACUCCUCCAGCCCUCCACAGCUGAACGCUCCCACCGUUGCGAAGUUGCGAGAAUUUUUGCUAUGAGCGUGAGACCCUGAAGCGCCAGAGAUGACACAAUGUGUAAAGACGAUCAUAAUUCGAUAUGGUCAAAAUGCGUCGAUUAUCGUUUCAUUUAUCUGGUAAUGAUGUUUUCACUUCAUCAAAAUUUUAAACAUUAACAACUAGGCUGAUAACAAUAGUUGAAAUGUAAAUCAGAAUAAAAUCAAUUCAUUUGAAGUAAAAUGAAUUCCAUUAUACUCUAUUUUGACCAAAUGAUCAACUCUUGUACAUAGUGCCAUUUACUUUGUGUUCUUCACUCUCGCGCUGUGUUGUGAUCGUUCGAAACUCAUUGCCAGAACGAAUGCAAAUUUCAUUUGGGAAGUAUCGGUGCCGGAAGAUGCAGUGAAAAUUAUAAAAUGUUUAUAGAAAAGUGGUUAAGUAAAUCGUGAAAGAUGUCAACGCAGGCGUAAAUGCAGUUUGUUUUGUUACUUGAUCUACGGCUAUUUCAUUGCCAAAGCACCUGAUAACCGAUCAAAGAAGGUGAAUUGGGCUUACAGAGUCGCCAUUUAACUUCAAUAUAUUCGUGAUCGGAAAACGCAUCAAACAACAAGUGUUUUUCUUCUAAUAGCACGCGCCAUCGGUGGAGCAAGCUGCAAACGUUUCGUUCGCCCAACACGCACCAUCAAGUAAUAUAAUAUUCCCGAAUAGCUCUGUGAAUAAAAAACUGCACACUUACUGUCCGAAUUUCCUGGAAUUUUUUGAUCGGUCUACGCUCGCGGGAAUGGUGGGUCCGUUGAGGAGAAGGAAAGAAAGGGUGGGAGCGAGGAUUAACCAAAAACGCGGCAUUGAGAAUGAGGGGAGGUGCGCUCAGCGCUCACGCUGGGACACUCACGAUGCUUGAAAUAAAAUGUUAACAAGCAUCGAUUUCAAGCAUGCAUGUCGCGCGACAUUUUGCCAAGCGGGAAGUGUGCAGUUUUUUAUUCACAGUGCUGUUUGGCAAAAUAUCAAUUCUUGAUGGUGCGCGCUAGGCGAACAAAACGUUAGGUGCUGCACCACCGAUGGUGCGUGCUGUUGGAAGGAAAAACACUUGCUGUUUGAUGCGUUUGCUUGAGGAAUGAAAGAUAAAUCGAGCAUUAGAAUGGUGAACAAAACUAGUACUAUUUAAAACUUACCGAUCACGCAGAUAUUUUAAAUUAAACGGCGACUCUGUAUGCCCGAUCCAUCUGCUUUGAUCUGUUAUCAGGAGCUUUGGUAAUGAAAUAGCUAGGUGUGAUGGAAAAUAAUAGAAGAAUAAACAAACAUUGAAAGCAGUACGAUUGUUUUAACACAAA